Molecule: ribosomal RNA, 234 nt
Filed under: uncultured bacterium
Lineage: Bacteria
Description: partial 16S ribosomal RNA
Rfam family: Bacterial small subunit ribosomal RNA
Source: RNAcentral
UACGGAGGGUGCAAGCGUUAAUCGGAAUUACUGGGCGUAAAGCGCACGCAGGUGGCUGAGUCAGUCGAUUGUGAAAGCCCUGGGCUUAACCUGGGAAUUGCAGUCGAUACUACUCAGCUAGAGUAUGGGAGAGGGCAGUGGAAUUCCCGGUGUAGCGGUGAAAUGCGUAGAUAUCGGGAGGAACAUCAGUGGCGAAGGCGGCUGCCUGGCCCAAUACUGACACUCAGGUGCGAC